This 253-nucleotide ribosomal RNA is filed under the name uncultured bacterium. RNAcentral's name for it is "partial 16S ribosomal RNA". It matches the Rfam family "Bacterial small subunit ribosomal RNA", at positions 524 to 776 of the family's 1533-position model. The record is from RNAcentral.
UACAGAGGUCCCAAGCGUUGUUCGGAUUCAUUGGGCGUAAAGGGUGCGUAGGCGGCGCGGUAAGUCGGGUGUGAAAUCUCUGGGCUCAACCCAGAGUCUGCUUCCGAAACUGCUGUGCUUGAGUGUGGGAGAGGCGCGUGGAAUUGCAGGUGUAGCGGUGAAAUGCGUAGAUAUCUGCAGGAACACCCGUGGCGAAAGCGGCGCGCUGGACCACUACUGACGCUGAGGAACGAAAGCUAGGGGAGCAAACAGG